RNAcentral lists this transfer RNA (73 nucleotides) under Megalonyx jeffersonii (Jefferson's ground sloth). RNAcentral's name for it is "tRNA-Asn". It matches the Rfam family "tRNA". From Rfam's summary of the family: Transfer RNA (tRNA) molecules are approximately 80 nucleotides in length. The record is from RNAcentral. Lineage: Eukaryota; Metazoa; Chordata; Mammalia; Pilosa; Megalonychidae.
UAGAUUGAAGCCAGUGUGUUAGGGUAUUUAGCUGUUAACUAAAAUUUCGUGGGAUCGAAGCCCACCAGUCUAG